CUUUAUGGUUUAGUUUCCACUUAACUGUCUUAUUUUCUUUUCUUUUUUCUCUCAUACCUGCCUCAUUUAUUUCAUUUAGAAAUAAACUUAGCUAGAAAUGUAAAUCAACUAGGAUUCGAACUUGGGUCUCGAGUACCAACCACCAAGCCCUUUGCCACUUGCUCUAGGGACGGUCGGUGUAACUGUCUUAUUUUCAAAAGAAUAAAUAUACUCUUGUUGAAGUUUUUCUUUUAAACCUAAUUCUUUCCGCUCUGUUAUUAUUGAAGCAACUGUUAUUCUCUAACAACUUAAACUGUCAAGAGAAUAAUGUUUAAAUACUUUAUGCUCAACACAAUAUUAAUUUAUUGC
RNAcentral lists this long non-coding RNA (348 nucleotides) under Ananas comosus (pineapple). Its description in RNAcentral is "long non-coding RNA (ACOM_LNC004192)". The record is from RNAcentral. Lineage: Eukaryota; Viridiplantae; Streptophyta; Magnoliopsida; Poales; Bromeliaceae.